GAUGAACGCUGGCGGCGUGCUUAACACAUGCAAGUCGAACGGAAAGGCCCAAGCUUGCUUGGGUACUCGAGUGGCGAACGGGUGAGUAACACGUGGGUGAUCUGCCCUGCACUUCGGGAUAAGCCUGGGAAACUGGGUCUAAUACCGGAUAGGACGAUGGUUUGGAUGCCAUUGUGGAAAGUUUUUUCGGUGUGGGAUGAGCUCGCGGCCUAUCAGCUUGUUGGUGGGGUAAUGGCCUACCAAGGCGUCGACGGGUAGCCGGCCUGAGAGGGUGUACGGCCACAUUGGGACUGAGAUGCGGCCCAGACUCCUACGGGAGGCAGCAGUGGGGAAUAUUGCACAAUGGGCGCAGGCCUGAUGCAGCGACGCCGCGUGGGGGAUGACGGCCUUCGGGUUGUAAACUCCUUUCGCUAGGGACGAAGCGUUUUUGUGACGGUACCUGGAGAAGAAGCACCGGCUAACUACGUG
This 468-nucleotide ribosomal RNA is filed under the name uncultured bacterium. Its description in RNAcentral is "partial 16S ribosomal RNA". It matches the Rfam family "Bacterial small subunit ribosomal RNA", at positions 28 to 507 of the family's 1533-position model. The record is from RNAcentral.